CCCUUAGAUGUCCUGGGCUGCACGCGCGCUACACUGACACAUUCAGCGAGUACAUCCUUACCCGUUGGGGUUGGGUAUUCUUCUCAAACUGUGUCGUGAUGGGGAUAGAUUAUUGCAAUUAUUAAUCUUCAACGAGGAAUUCCUAGUAAGUGCAAGUCAUCAGCUUGCGCUGAUUACGUCCCUGCCCUUUGUACACACCGCCCGUCGCUCCUACCGAGUGGGUGAUCCGGUGAACUAUUCGGACUCCGGUUAUUCCAGCAUUUGGUUUUGCUGGGGAAAGUUUCGUGAACCUUAUCACUUGGAGGAAGGAGAANUCGUANCA
This 322-nucleotide ribosomal RNA is filed under the name uncultured eukaryote. Its description in RNAcentral is "partial 18S ribosomal RNA". It matches the Rfam family "Eukaryotic small subunit ribosomal RNA", at positions 1470 to 1796 of the family's 1831-position model. The record is from RNAcentral.